Dermacentor silvarum is the source of this 163-nucleotide small nuclear RNA. RefSeq annotates it as U1 spliceosomal RNA. The transcript has a single exon. The record is from RefSeq and is a predicted model, not a curated record. Lineage: Eukaryota; Metazoa; Arthropoda; Arachnida; Ixodida; Ixodidae.
AUACUUACUUGGUGCUGGACACGCGGUGAUCAUGAAAACCGUGGUCCCGUGCGGAGACCUACCAUUGCACUUAGGUUGGUUGAAGCGCGCCACUUCCCAAAAAAAGGGAUAGCUGGAGCAUUUAAUUUUUGGUAGUGGGGCUCGGCGUUCGCGCCAGCCCCUG